GGAGAUCAUGGGUCCAUGUAGUAUUUUCAUCUUAAAUCGUCAAUACAACAACAAUAUAACCAUAAAGUGCCAUUAGAAACCUUUUAAAACCAUUUGGUGGAAGAACCCAUGAGAUUGAGUGAAAACCUAGAUUUUUCAUACUUUGAAAUAACUUUGGAUUUGGCUCCUUGAAUGGAAAUUUAGACAAGGAUCAAGACCACCAUACCUUUGUUAUGAUCUCCCACGAAAUUUGAUGAAGAAAGCCUUGAAUCCAAAGCCCUAGCUCCCACUUCUUCUUCUUCUUAAUGGAGGAUUGUAGAGAGGGAAAUGUUUUUGGGGAUGGGAAUUGAACUAAUGGUAUCUAGGAAAUAAUAUAUGUCCUUUGGAAGAAUGGUC
Molecule: long non-coding RNA, 375 nt
Filed under: Solanum tuberosum (potato)
Lineage: Eukaryota; Viridiplantae; Streptophyta; Magnoliopsida; Solanales; Solanaceae
Description: long non-coding RNA (STUB_LNC004812)
Source: RNAcentral